This is a long non-coding RNA of Trematomus bernacchii (emerald rockcod), 462 nucleotides long. RefSeq lists it as uncharacterized. Lineage: Eukaryota; Metazoa; Chordata; Actinopteri; Perciformes; Nototheniidae. The transcript is spliced from 5 exons. The record is from RefSeq and is a predicted model, not a curated record.
CAGCUUAAGAUGGUUGCUGGUUUUAGCUGGUUUUCGCUGGUUCUGCAGUUUGUGUUUCCCCUGAAAAACGUGAUGCAGUUAUAAGUUGCUUUGCAUUUGAACCCCUAUGACUGGUUGCGGACUUGAAGGGAACGACUUCCUGGCCUUCCUGACAUCCAGGAAAAAGUUUUAUUGGACAGUAGAGAUCUACUGGAAACAGUGGAGAGGGAAGAGAUGAUAUGCAGCAAAAGGCCGAGCCGGAUGGUUGCUGCUCCGUGUGGAACGUGUUCUAUCAGGUGUAACAUCUACCAAUGGUUGUACAUGACACCACCUCUUUGCUGUCCUACUAGUCAACCCUCCUGAUCAGAGCCUUUCCUAAAUAGUGAAAGGUUCAAAAAGUUCCCUGUACAUGGAACCAUGCCUGUCCUCUGUUCCACAUGUCUUCAGUCAGUUCUGGACCCCAUGACUCGGACACUAGUUCUA